This is a long non-coding RNA of Chanos chanos (milkfish), 394 nucleotides long. RefSeq lists it as uncharacterized. The record is from RefSeq and is a predicted model, not a curated record. The transcript has 3 exons. NCBI's taxonomy places the organism in Eukaryota, Metazoa, Chordata, Actinopteri, Gonorynchiformes, Chanidae.
UGAAGAGGCAUUAGAGAUUGAAAAAAAAAUCCGAUCUGGUCGAAGAACCGACUCAAAAAGUUCCCCGUUUUGGAUAUUUUCAAGACUUACGAACAAGCGCAACACUUCACAGGGAGAAAGUCGACCUCAUAAAACGAAGGAACGAACGAACGGAGACGAAAGAAAGAACAGAACCGGCUGAGCAAUGGCUACACGGGCCUUUCCAGAUGUCUAAUGGACUUUGAUCUUGACUGGGUGACACACAGCUUGAGUGCUUGGGCCGUGUGAAGGUGAUUUCCUCGGAUUCUCACGACGUUUUUCCCUUUUCUUCUGAACGGGUCGGACCAUCCCCGCUCACUUUCACCCUAGCGGCGGCUGCACCUUGAUUUCACCGCGCGUGUGUGUGUGUGUGAGA